CCAUGGCGGCCGCGGGAAUUCGAUUAGAGUUUGAUCAUGGCUCAGAACGAACGCUGGCGGCAGGCUUAACACAUGCAAGUCGAACGCCCCGCAAGGGGAGUGGCAGACGGGUGAGUAACACGUGGGAACGUGCCCAAAGGUACGGAACAACUCCGGGAAACUGGAGCUAAUACCGUAUGUGCCCGAAAGGGGAAAGAUUCAUCGCCUUUGGAUCGGCCCGCGUCUGAUUAGCUAGUUGGCGGGGUAAUGGCCCACCAAGGCGACGAUCAGUAGCUGGUCUGAGAGGAUGACCAGCCACACUGGGACUGAGACACGGCCCAGACUCCUACGGGAGGCAGCAGUGGGGAAUAUUGGACAAUGGGCGCAAGCCUGAUCCAGCCAUGCCGCGUGAGUGAUGAAGGCCUUAGGGUUGUAAAGCUCUUUCGCCAGGGACGAUAAUGACGGUACCUGGAUAAGAAGCCCCGGCUAACUUCGUGCCAGCAGCCGCGGUAAUACGAAUCACUAGUGAAUUCGCGGCCGCCUGCAGGUCGACCAUAUGGGAGAGCUCCC
This 549-nucleotide ribosomal RNA is filed under the name uncultured Alphaproteobacteria bacterium. RNAcentral describes it as "partial 16S ribosomal RNA". It matches the Rfam family "Bacterial small subunit ribosomal RNA", at positions 1 to 887 of the family's 1533-position model. The record is from RNAcentral. Lineage: Bacteria; Pseudomonadati; Pseudomonadota; Alphaproteobacteria.